UUAGUAGCAGAUUGUGAUGUUGAUGCACACAGUUUUGUAUUUCCAGUUGCCUAUGGUGUGCUGGAGACAGAGUCUGAGGAGAGCUGGACUUGGUUUUUGCAUAAUCUGCGCCGGGCUAUUACACAUCCCAAUGGGUUGGUCAUUCAUACAGAUGCCUGCAAAGAUUUAGAAGUGGCCGUGGACAAUGUGUUCCCUGGAGUAGAGCAUAGGGAAUGCAUGCGUCACCUUGCUGCAAAUUUCAUGAAGAAAUUCAAAGGAAAGAUGUAUACCGACAAUUUAUGGCCAUCAUCUUUGACUUGGAGUGUGAAGAAGCACCAUUACCACUUGAGGCAGUUAUACAUGAAUCCCAAAGUGAAAGAAUACUUGGAUACACACCACUCCAAGUUAUGGGCCAGAAGCCAAUUCAGUGAACUGAGCAAAGUUGACUAUGUGCACAAUAAUCUAGCAGAGUCUUUCAACUCAACGAUCCAGAAA
RNAcentral lists this ribosomal RNA (474 nucleotides) under Triticum aestivum (bread wheat). Its description in RNAcentral is "partial small subunit ribosomal RNA". Lineage: Eukaryota; Viridiplantae; Streptophyta; Magnoliopsida; Poales; Poaceae. The record is from RNAcentral.